This 654-nucleotide ribosomal RNA is filed under the name Paenibacillus sp. 3Y16. RNAcentral's name for it is "bacterial SSU rRNA". It matches the Rfam family "Bacterial small subunit ribosomal RNA", at positions 60 to 694 of the family's 1533-position model. Lineage: Bacteria; Bacillati; Bacillota; Bacilli; Caryophanales; Paenibacillaceae. The record is from RNAcentral.
AGUCGAGCGGACUUGAAGAGAAGCUUGCUUCUCUGAUGGUUAGCGGCGGACGGGUGAGUAACACGUAGGCAACCUGCCCUCAAGCUUGGGACAACUACCGGAAACGGUAGCUAAUACCGAAUACUUGCUUCCUUCGCCUGAAGGGAGCUGGAAAGACGGAGCAAUCUGUCACUUGAGGAUGGGCCUGCGGCGCAUUAGCUAGUUGGUGAGGUAACGGCUGACCAAGGCGACGAUGCGUAGCCGACCUGAGAGGGUGAUCGGCCACACUGGGACUGAGACACGGCCCAGACUCCUACGGGAGGCAGCAGUAGGGAAUCUUCCGCAAUGGGCGAAAGCCUGACGGAGCAAUGCCGCGUGAGUGAUGAAGGUUUUCGGAUCGUAAAGCUCUGUUGCCAGGGAAGAACGUCCUUGAGAGUAACUGCUCAAGGAGUGACGGUACCUGAGAAGAAAGCCCCGGCUAACUACGUGCCAGCAGCCGCGGUAAUACGUAGGGGGCAAGCGUUGUCCGGAAUUAUUGGGCGUAAAGCGCGCGCAGGCGGUCAUUUAAGUCUGGUGUUUAAUCCCGGGGCUCAACCCCGGAUCGCACUGGAAACUGGGUGACUUGAGUGCAGAAGAGGAGAGUGGAAUUCCACGUGUAGCGGUGAAAUGCGUAGA